GUAGGAGGCAAGCGUUGUCCGGAAUUAUUGGGCGUAAAGCGCGCGCAGGCGGUUCUUUAAGUCUGAUGUGAAAGCCCACGGCUCAACCGUGGAGGGUCAUUGGAAACUGGAGAACUUGAGUACAGAAGAGGAAAGCGGAAUUCCACGUGUAGCGGUGAAAUGCGUAGAGAUGUGGAGGAACACCAGUGGCGAAGGCGGCUUUCUGGUCUGUAACUGACGCUGAGGCGCGAAAGCGUGGGGAGCAAACAGGAUUAGAUACCCUGGUAGUCCACGCCGUAAACGAUGAGUGCUAAGUGUUAGGGGGGUUUCCGCCCCCCUUAGUGCUGCAGCUAACGCAUUAAGCACUCCGCCUGGGAGUACGGCCGCAAGGCUG
This 373-nucleotide ribosomal RNA is filed under the name uncultured organism. RNAcentral's name for it is "partial 16S ribosomal RNA". It matches the Rfam family "Bacterial small subunit ribosomal RNA", at positions 527 to 896 of the family's 1533-position model. The record is from RNAcentral.